This is a non-coding RNA of Vicia faba (fava bean), 264 nucleotides long. NCBI's taxonomy places the organism in Eukaryota, Viridiplantae, Streptophyta, Magnoliopsida, Fabales, Fabaceae. The record is from the annotation of a GenBank genome assembly.
AUGAAAGAAGAUCAAGAGCUAGAUUUCAAAAAGGAAGCUGCUGCCAACACUUUGGACAAUUAUUCAAAAUUUGUGAUUGCAAGGGUUGGAAGUAGGACUCGACCAUGUGAUUUGAGGUUACAUUUAAUGAAGGAGAUUUCAGGUAUGCCAACUUCUCUAAAUAGGGAAACAGCUCAUGCCGCCGCAUCUCCUGAGACAAUGGGCGAGUCAUCCAGCUCAGGAACAGCGAGACUGGAUAAAGCAGACAGUUUUCGGGCAGUGUAG